This 72-nucleotide transfer RNA is filed under the name Ptenopus garrulus (Whistling gecko). RNAcentral's name for it is "tRNA-Leu". Lineage: Eukaryota; Metazoa; Chordata; Lepidosauria; Squamata; Gekkonidae. The record is from RNAcentral.
ACUUUUAAUGGACAAAAGUCGUCCACUAGCCUUAGGAGCUGGCACCUCUUGGUGCAACUCCAAGUAAAAGAA